Molecule: long non-coding RNA, 401 nt
Filed under: Homo sapiens (human)
Lineage: Eukaryota; Metazoa; Chordata; Mammalia; Primates; Hominidae
Description: HSALNT0349377
Source: RNAcentral
UACACAGAAUCCACAUACAACAGCGAUCCACCAGUUCCCAAAUCUGCCCUUCCUUCCCUCUUUCUCUUCUUCACACUUCCCUUUCAGCUCUCCAACCAGUUUGCAGAGUUGGAUUCAGCAGAAGAGGGGCAUUCCUAUCAAUCUUUUCAGUGUUUCUCACCAUUAAAUAGCUGUGCAGGAUGCAACCAGCAUGACCCGCAUACGUUGGCCAUGUAAAAUGUGGUAUUUCCUGCUCUGCGUCUAAAUAUGUCUGUUGUAAAUAGAGAUGGCCUCUGUAGGAUCUCCCAGCAGCCAACGGUAAAGAAAAGACUGUCUUGACAAACCAACAGAAAAUGGGCAAAGACUCAAAUAGACAUCCUCCAAGGAGAAUGUCCAAAUAACCAAUAAACAUAUAAAAUGUG